GAGGGUAUAGCUCAAGUGGUAGAGCGUGUGCUUAGCAUGCAUGAGGUCCUAGGCUCAAUCCCCAGUACCUCCU
This 73-nucleotide transfer RNA is filed under the name Camelus bactrianus (Bactrian camel). It matches the Rfam family "tRNA". Rfam says of the family: Transfer RNA (tRNA) molecules are approximately 80 nucleotides in length. Their secondary structure includes four short double-helical elements and three loops (D, anti-codon, and T loops). The record is from Rfam by way of RNAcentral. RNAcentral also lists the same sequence under 2 other names. Lineage: Eukaryota; Metazoa; Chordata; Mammalia; Artiodactyla; Camelidae.